This 507-nucleotide ribosomal RNA is filed under the name Pareledone aequipapillae. RNAcentral describes it as "partial 16S ribosomal RNA". It matches the Rfam family "Bacterial large subunit ribosomal RNA", at positions 1817 to 2597 of the family's 2925-position model. The record is from RNAcentral. Lineage: Eukaryota; Metazoa; Mollusca; Cephalopoda; Octopoda; Octopodidae.
GUCUCUUUGAUAUAUAAUAAUAAGGAGUUGGGCCUGCUCGGUGAUAUUUUUAACAGCUGCGGUAUUAUAACUGUACUAAGGUAGCAUAAUAAUUUGCCUUAUAAAUUAGGGCUAGAAUGAAUGGUUUGACGAAAAUUAUACUGUCUCUACUUUAAUUAUUAGAAAUUAAUUUUUAUAGUGAAAAAGCUUGGAUGAUUUAAAGGGACGAGAAGACCCUAUUGAGCUUUAUGUUAAAAUAUAUAUAAUUAUAAAAUAUUAUUUAUUUUUUUAUUUUUGGUUGGGGUGAUCAAGGAAUAAAAUUUUAAUAGUAUAAUUUCCUUAUUAAUAUUAUUUGUUAGAAUAAUAAACCAAAAAUUUUGCUUAAAUGAUAAGUUACCAUAGGGAUAACAGCGUAAUUUUUUUAGAGAGUUCAUAUUAAAAAAAAAGAUUGCGACCUCGAUGUUGGAUUAAAAUAACCAUUAGGUGUAGAAGCUUUAUUUGGUAAAUCUGUUCGAUUUUUAAAAUUUU